Molecule: long non-coding RNA, 625 nt
Filed under: Phasianus colchicus (ring-necked pheasant)
Lineage: Eukaryota; Metazoa; Chordata; Aves; Galliformes; Phasianidae
Description: lncRNA (ENSPCLG00000003370.1)
Source: RNAcentral
CUAUUGUUGAAUUACAGCUGUCAAAACCAAGAUCAUCAGAUCUUCUAGCAGGCCUCUUCAAGAGACCACCUUGCCAAACAACAUAAAGAUCCAUACUGCAGAAAUACUGCCUUUGCAAGCAGUGACAGCUCCUGCUGGUCAACCCCAAAGCUGCUUCAUUUUCAAGGUGGGAAAGAGUGCAUGCAGUGACAUCUGGUUUCUGGUCUGUCUUUCUGGAUUGGUGGAGUAAUAGAAGAUAGCAUUUAUGGAUUCCUCCCAGCUCCAAGAUUGUGUCACAGAGCUGAGACUGUUGUAGUGAGAAUUUGCAACAUCCAUUAGAACUAAUGAAUUAGUACUGUAUAUCUUGUAAUCACCAUUAUGUAAACAUUAGUAGUACAGAAUAAUAUCUUUUUCAGCCUACUAUUGACAGAUUUGUUAUUAAUUAUCUCAGUGAAAAAGUUCUUAUUUACCAAUACAGUUUGUAACUUAAAAUGUCUGUCAAGUUGAGAAUUCUACAUCAUACCUGUCUAUAGUGAAAUCCUGAUAUAUGAAAUUUCUGAAUUAGUCUCUUUAGUAGUCUAAUGUGUUCUCUGUAGUAGUCAUGUAUUUGUAGCAUGCUUGACAAGAAGGAGCUGUCAUCAUCUUA